RNAcentral lists this long non-coding RNA (1901 nucleotides) under Homo sapiens (human). RNAcentral's name for it is "HSALNT0101516". The record is from RNAcentral. Lineage: Eukaryota; Metazoa; Chordata; Mammalia; Primates; Hominidae.
UUUGAUUGUUCAGAAUUUGGAAUUCCCCAUUCCUUUCUAUUCUCAUUCAUCAGCCAUGUCUCUGGAAAAAUGAUAACGUCAUCUGGAGGAAUAUCUACACUUAGCUCUGCCAUUUCAGAGAAGUACAUCUUUGAAUUCCUGUUUCUUAUUCAUUUAACAUUUUAGAGGAUUAGGAACUUAAUAUUGCUACCACUUUAGCUUUAUCCUUCUUCAAAGGAGUUUAAAUGCACUUUUGUAUUAUUUCAUUAUAGGCUAUUUUAUUAUUGAAAUAAUUCCAGAUAGCUAAACUUUUGACAAAAAUGGGCAUAGAAAUACUACAUUUAUCUCUGUGUUAUUGAAUUCUUUUUGAGACAGGCUCUCACUCUGUCACCCAGGUUGGAGUGCAGUGAUGCAGUCUCGACUCACUGCAGCCUCCACCUCCCCAGGCUCAAGCAAUCCUUCCACCUCAACCUCCUAAGUAGCUGGGACCACAGCUACAUGCCUCCACCAAGCCUGGCUAAUUUUUAUAUUUUUUGUAGAGCUAGAGUUUCGCUAUGUUGACGUAGCUGGUCUCAAACUCCUGGUUUCAAGCAAUCCGCCCAAUUCAGCCUCCCAAAGUGUUGGCAUUACAGGCCUGAGCCAUUGUGUCCAGCCUUGAAUUCUUUUAUCACAUUUUUAUUUCUAAUUGUUAUCUUCCAUUUCUUGACUUCUGUGAUUUACUUUCUUUGUCUUUCAUCUAAUUUUUUCUAUUCUCUUUUUACUUUGCCUUUCUUUUCUCACACCCUUCCUUAGUCUUCGUAACAGUUCCACACAGUCAGUCCCUUUUCAUGUAUCCCCUGUUACCCUAUACAAAGGACUCAUUUUAAGGGCUUGUCCCAAUAUUUCCACAUUCUUUAGUCUCUGGGACUCCUUUCAUAUUCAUGACCUCUUUUCAUAAAACAUCUGGCUGCAUGACAUCAGUGGAAGAGCGCUAGGGGUAGGCAUCAAGAUGGUGGGUGCCACUGCCAGUAGUACUACUACCCCACCCAAGUGACACUGGGCAAGUCACUCUACCAGCAUGGGUCCCAUUCACCUCCACUAUAAAAAUGCAAGGGUCAGAUAUCAUGAUCUUAAAGGCGCUGCCUAACUCCAAUACUCUAGUGUUAUUUGUAGCUAUUCUUGUAUCUCUGCUUUCCAUAAAUAUCUGUGGUGUAUUUUGUCUCUUAAUCUAAGAAAAUACAUUGGUCCUUUGUAAUGAAUUAUAUUUAGAAAACCACAUGGCAUCCAUACUUCUACCCAGGUGAUUUCCUAUUUUUUAAGUCUAUUUUAUAUAACUCUGCAUCCUUUAGAAUCUAUUUUUCCCCCUCAUGCUGUUUCCAUCAUGUGACAACACCCACAUGAUUGUUUAUAUGUGUGAAUAUGUGGAUGUAGGCAUCUGUACAGAAGCAUUGAAUUCAACUGUGACCUCAAUGACUUCUAAAUGUAGUUUUUAUGCACCCUCCCCACCCCACUGCCACCCAUGAUUGCGUCUUUCUAAAUAUGACUCCUGACUUGGGAAGAAGGCAUUUUCUCUUUUCCUUUUCCUAAAACCAGUCAACAUUUUAACACUGUAGACUCUUAAAUGUGUGUUAUAUCCAGAACUACAGCCAAAGAAAAAGAAGCAGCCCAACAGAGAGCUCAGGAAAAUUACACUUCAUACAUCCAACUGCUAUGGAAGAGGAUGGAGGUGAGAAGCGGAGGGAGAAAGAAGGAUGUGAUAUUCCAUCCCCAUUAAGAAAAUUUUUCAAGCCCCCAAUCUGAACCUACUGAAUCAGAAUUUGAGGAGAUGAGACCUGUAUACCUAGAUUUUCAAAAGACUCUCAACUCUAUCCACUCUCAUCACUUCUAUUUAACAUUAUACUGGAGGUCCUGGCCAGGGAAGUAAGGCAAGUAAAAAAAAAUUC